GUUGAAGAACAUGUCACACCAGCACACGCCGCCGUCGCCAGCAGCAGGAAGUUGUUGAUUUGCAGCAUAUUCACACUUUCUGAUGCAGUCAGAGCUCACUGCUUCUCAGAACAGAUCCACUCAGAAGGAACUCCAGUUUCUGAUGUUUAUUUUACUUUUUCUUCCCCCCAAACAAGGCACAAAAGGGGAAAAUGAACGGGACACAAGAAAAAAGAAUCAAGGGUCUUACUGAUCCCAUCACACACCUCCUCUAAUGUCAUGGCUGGAAGGAAAUAAGAAGCCCUUCCUCGGGAGAAUGCCAGAGGCCCUUGAUUGAAGUCAAGGGCAUAAGGGAUGACCUCCUCCAGUCCCCAGCCCUCACCUUCGCCUUGCGUUUGCUGUCGUCCAUGAUCAUCUUCCAGUCCGAGCCGUUGUUGCUGUACCCGAUCUUGAACUUCCUCAUGAACACCUUGUUCUCUCGGUGCUUCCCACCCUGAAUGAUGAUGCCCCUCACGAUCUUCUCCUCCCCCAGGUCUAUUUGGAGCCACUCAUUGACGUAGGAAUGAGGUGCGGGUGGCAGUGCCCAGCCAGAGCGACUGGUUACCAGGCGGAUGUUUUCGGGCAUCCAGUUUCUGUCCCCUUGGUUGGAUGAUGUGAUCUGGGAGUCAGAAAUAAGUCCAGACACCAUACCCAACAUUCCAGAGCAAGGAUAAUCUGGGAGGUGAAAUGAAACAGAUAAUGUAAAAUGAUUUCCUGGGCGACUCCAUGCUAAGAAAUAAAAUACAACAUAUGGAAUAAAGA
RNAcentral lists this non-coding RNA (780 nucleotides) under Pan troglodytes (chimpanzee). The record is from RNAcentral. Lineage: Eukaryota; Metazoa; Chordata; Mammalia; Primates; Hominidae.